RNAcentral lists this long non-coding RNA (1657 nucleotides) under Homo sapiens (human). RNAcentral's name for it is "long non-coding RNA NONHSAT181139.1". Lineage: Eukaryota; Metazoa; Chordata; Mammalia; Primates; Hominidae. The record is from RNAcentral.
CUCACUUGCACCCAGGAAGGAUGGGAUUUCCAGCCUCCCCUCUGCAAAGAUGUGAACGAGUGUGCAGACGGUGCCCACCCCCCCUGCCACGCCUCUGCGAGGUGCAGAAACACCAAAGGCGGCUUCCAGUGUCUCUGCGCGGACCCCUACGAGUUAGGAGACGAUGGGAGAACCUGCGUAGACUCCGGGAGGCUCCCUCGGGUGACUUGGAUCUCCAUGUCGCUGGCUGCUCUGCUGAUCGGAGGCUUCGCAGGUCUCACCUCGACGGUGAUUUGCAGGUGGACACGCACUGGCACUAAAUCCACACUGCCCAUCUCGGAGACAGGCGGAGGAACUCCCGAGCUGAGAUGCGGAAAGCACCAGGCCGUAGGGACCUCACCGCAGCGGGCCGCAGCUCAGGACUCGGAGCAGGAGAGUGCUGGGAUGGAAGGCCGGGAUACUCACAGGCUGCCGAGAGCCCUCUGAGGGCAAAGUGGCAGGACACUGCAGAACAGCUUCAUGUUCCCAAAAUCACCGUACGACUCUUUUCCAAACACAGGCAAAUCCGAAAUCAGCAGGACGACUGUUUUCCCAACACGGGUAAAUCUAGUACCAUGUCGUAGUUACUCUCAGGCAUGGAUGAAUAAAUGUUAUAGCUGCAUUUGUCUGGCCUUUUCUUGUAAACAUUGCCUGAUUUGUUCCUUCUGGGGCUUUGCCAUUAAAAUGUAUUUACAGAUUACACAUCUUUAUUUUGUGAACCCUGGAAACACCACUCUUGCAAUCCUCCUGUCUCCACCUUCUGGCAUCUCUGAUGCCGUGCUCGUCUGCACUCUGCCCCGGCGGUCCCUCCAGCACUGGUUUUUCCACACCCCCUGCCCAUCACCAGGUGUCCACAGGGCCUACAUCUGGCUUCCCUCUUCUCCUGGGAAGAGCACUCCUGGCUUCCUGCAGGGCCGGUGGGAGGAGGAAAGUGAUUCUGAGGGAGAGGCUGGAGCCUUAAGGACCAACAAGGCAAAGUGACUUGUCUCAUCCUCCAGAGAUUCACCAACACAUGAGCCUCAGACCCCAGGCUUCUGCCUCCAGCAGCCGCCCUGCCGCACACUGCUCUUACUCCUCCUUAUACCCUCACUCACGGGGAACACAGCCCAGUGAUCCCGGAGGAAACUCACUCCCUCCCUGACUCAACAAGGCAGUCUCGGGGGCACCGUUAGCCACGCGACCCUGUAAAGCUGCCGUCCUCAUUUCACAUGUGAAGCAGCUGAAUUCCAGAGUGCUGGGUCCCAGCCCAGGCAGCCCUCAGCCUCACGCAAGGCAAUAGUUAGGAGUCCUUCGGCAUUGAAAGCAAACUCAGACACAUCUGACCUGGAGUUCUACCUGCACUAAGAGAAGAGAGUGGUAACUAAUUCAUGGAUAAAACAGACCAUCGAGGCAGCACUGAAUGAUCUCACCCACGAAUGACAACAGUGGCACAGGAGGGCUAUGAACAUUUUGCUUCAGGAUGUUUUAUUUCGCUCUACUGUUAUGUAGAGAAAGCAUGGUUUGCUUUUUAUAACUUUUGUGACCCAAAAAUACCAGACUGUUGUUUUCCCUAGGUGCCAGGCCAUCCUGUUCUGUGUGUUCCCAAACUCUUAGUUUUGUUCAUGUAAAACUCAUGAUUUCAUAAUUAAAACAAUAUUAA